GCUGAAGUGCACACCGCUCUGUUCUGUUUUCCUCUUCUUCAAUACGAAAUUUUCCCCACCGCCGCCGCCUAGGUCAUAUCCUACCGCCGCCGGCCACCACGGAGCAUGCCCCAUCCGCUGCUGGACGCCCCAAUCAAGAGCAACCUAGAGGGCUAUUGCGCGUGCGCCGAAUAGUUUGCUCAGAGCCGGCAGAAGCUGUUGGCAUCCCCAUGGGAGCGGAGACGAACCUCUCGUCGCCGCAGCUAGAUCCGACCAAGUCGCGGGAGUCGGUGACCCUACUCAACGACGAUCAGGGUUCAGUAUACGUGGCUGAGUGUGACAAAAGCUUGGAGCCGGCAAUUGGCAUGGUCGUUGAUAAAUGGGAGACCGGCGAGAUGUUCUACACACGGUGAGAUGUUCUACACAUGAUCAGGAGAAUUAGAUGGCGCAACAGACAUGCAGGUUAUUUGGCAUCACAGAAGUGUUUAUGGUUUCACAUAUUUAAUGUUGUACGAUCUUUUGAGAGGGUUUAUUAGGUUGUUGUAAUUCUUGAUGUUAUCAUGUAGAUGUGCAUUUCUGCCAGCAUAGGAUGGCGUACAAGGAGAAUAUGAAGUCACCAAGUGAUCUGUAGUGAAGCUGUUUGGUUUAAUUAUAUAAAUUAGUGAACUAAAUAAUACGCUUGUAAAUAUAUGUAUAUUAAGGUCAUGUUAAUUCCUAUAUCAAGAUGGCAGCAUAUGAUGCACCUUUAUUUGGUGAACUGCUUCUGAUCCAGCGAUCUUUUGAUGCUAUGAAUGAUUUUUGGCAAUUUGCCAUCCC
RNAcentral lists this ribosomal RNA (795 nucleotides) under Triticum aestivum (bread wheat). RNAcentral's name for it is "partial small subunit ribosomal RNA". Lineage: Eukaryota; Viridiplantae; Streptophyta; Magnoliopsida; Poales; Poaceae. The record is from RNAcentral.